Molecule: ribosomal RNA, 406 nt
Filed under: uncultured bacterium
Lineage: Bacteria
Description: partial 16S ribosomal RNA
Rfam family: Bacterial small subunit ribosomal RNA
Source: RNAcentral
AUUGAACGCUGGCGGCAGGCCUAACACAUGCAAGUCGAACGAGUGGCGGACGGGUGAGUAAUGUCUGGGAAACUGCCUGAUGGAGGGGGAUAACUACUGGAAACGGUAGCUAAUACCGCAUACCAUCAGAUGUGCCCAGCUUGGAUUAGCUUGUUGGUGGGUUAACGGCGUACCAAGGCGACGAUCCCUAGCUGGUCUGAGAGGAUGACCAGCAACACGGGAACUGAGACACGGCCCAGACUCCUACGGGAGGCAGCAGUGGGGAAUAUUGCACAAUGGGCGAAAGUCUGAUGCAGCCAUGCCGCGUGUAUGAAGAAGGCCUUCGGGUUGUAAAGUACUUUCAGCGGGGAGGCGUUACCCGCAGAAGAAGCACCGGCUAACUCCGUGCCAGCAGCCGCGGUAAUUC